UAAGAGGACAAUCAACCCAUAUGGCCUACAGCGACCUAUGCUCGAUAGAAGCUGUCGUCCUUAUUAACAGCCUAUCAUUUGGUCGUGAACAGUUUUAAGGACUAAUCGAUAAAUCCUCUCUUUAUCGAACUUAAAUAGUCCUAAGGACUUCAUCAUAACAACGGAGUUCAUUAGAAGAUGAAAGCUUAUGAUGAAAAUACCAAAUAUAUUUUAUUUAUUAACAAAUCAAUUACAAUACUUGAUUGCUCAACCGUCAACAGCUUGACGAUUGGCUUUUUGGGACACAUUUCUCAA
RNAcentral lists this long non-coding RNA (294 nucleotides) under Elaeis guineensis (African oil palm). RNAcentral describes it as "long non-coding RNA (EGUI_LNC068360)". Lineage: Eukaryota; Viridiplantae; Streptophyta; Magnoliopsida; Arecales; Arecaceae. The record is from RNAcentral.